CCAGGUUGAUUCUGCCUGACGUAGACACUAUUCCCUAAGAUUAACCCAUGCAUGGUUUUGAAGAUUAUUAUCUGAAAAAUAGACUGCUCAGUAAUACUCACUUUAUUUUAUGUAUACAGCAGAUAACUACGUUAAAGUGUAGAUAAUAUGUGUACAGUAAGAGUGAGACCUAUCAGCUAGUUGUUAAGGUAAUGGCUUAACAAGGCAAUAACGGGUAACGGUAUUACCUUGUAAUAUUCCGGGAAGGAGCCUGAGAGACGGCUACUAAGUCUAAGGAUUGCAGCAGGGGCGAAACUUGACCUAUGGAUUUUACCUGAGGUAGUUAUGGGAAGUAAUAUGUUAUUGUUUCAUAUUUUAAAAAUAUAUGAGGUGAUUAAUUGGAGGGCAAAUCAAGUGCCAGCAGCCGCGGUAAUACUUGUUCCAAGAGUGUGUAUGAUGAUUGAUGCAGUUAAAGAGUCCGUAGUUUAUUUCUAAGAAGCAAUAUGAGGUGUACUGUAUAGUUAGGAGAGAAAUGAAAUGUGACGACCCUGACUGGACGAACA
Molecule: ribosomal RNA, 542 nt
Filed under: Nosema sp. D PSH-2011
Lineage: Eukaryota; Fungi; Microsporidia; Nosematidae
Description: SSU rRNA
Rfam family: Microsporidia small subunit ribosomal RNA
Source: RNAcentral